Molecule: ribosomal RNA, 478 nt
Filed under: uncultured bacterium
Lineage: Bacteria
Description: bacterial SSU rRNA
Rfam family: Bacterial small subunit ribosomal RNA
Source: RNAcentral
GAGUGGACUCCUACGGGUGGCAGCAGUGGGGAAUAUUGCGCAAUGGGGGCAACCCUGACGCAGCCAUGCCGCGUGAAUGAAGAAGGCCUUCGGGUUGUAAAGUUCUUUCGGUAGCGAGGAAGGCAUUUAGUUUAAUAGACUGAGUGAUUGACGUUAACUACAGAAGAAGCACCGGCCAACUCCGUGCCAGCAGCCGCGGUAAUACGGAGGGUGCGGGCGUUAAUCGGAAUAACUGGGCGUAAAGGGCACGCAGGCGGUGACUUAAGUGAGGUGUGAAAGCCCCGGGCUUAACCUGGGAAUUGCAUUUCAUACUGGGUCGCUAGAGUACUCUAGGGAGGGGUAGAAUUCCACGUGUAGCGGUGAAAUGCGUAGAGAUGUGGAGGAAUACCGAAGGCGAAGGCAGCCCCUUGGGAAUGUACUGACGCUCAUGUGCGAAAGCGUGGGGAGCAAACAGGAUUAGAAACCCCGGUAGCCUGAU